ACCAAAGAAAUUUCAGUAGCCAGCCUUAUUAUAGGUUAUUAUCACUAAGAUAUGUAUUGUAUCAGAAAAACACAAUACUGUCUGUGAAUGUAGUCCUCUGUUAGUAAAGAGCCAGGAAAGAUACUUUAUCUCAAAUGGAGUCACCUCUAGCUGAGGAAGCCUGUUGCCUUCUGUUAGGCACAACAGAGUGUUAAAAAUUGACUUUCUGAAGUGCUUAUUUUAUUUUCAAACUUUGUCAAGAAAUUGUUUCCUUCUGUCACCAAGGAGCUCUGUCCGAGCUUAACCCUUGCUAGAGAGUGAGGGACAUGAACCAGCAUUUUGUCGUGUGGAACAUGUUAGGAAUACAGAACUAUGAACCUGCUGCAGAAUAAAUGAAAUCAGAGAUACGUUUUUACUUGAUCUCUGUGCCCACUCAAGUUUGAGAAACAUCAAAGAAAAUAGCUCUUCCAUCACUUUUUUAUAUUAUCAUAGGUUUUCUUCUUUUAGUGGAAGGGAGGAAGCAGUGCAAAUAAGUUUUAUGUGUGCUUACUUUUGUGUUUGAAACAGAAAAAUAGAGUCAUUUUUAGUGCAAACCUCUUUUCCCCACAUGGGAACCUUCUGAAGUCAUAUGAUGUUGUUAAUUGCCUCCACUACGAAAGGAUGUUUCUAGCCAUACUAGUGUCUAGAAUCUAGUCCAAUGGCCAUGACACUGUCCACCCCCCAUCCUCUCCUUGAGAGCAAGCUAAUUAUCAGAAAAAAAAAAACCUGAUUAUGUGUCAGGAGGAAGAGGAAAGGAUGGAUUUGUAAACAAAGUGGCAUAACAAAGGCAGUAGCUAUGCAGCAUGACAGGUUACCAGCAUCCACACUCUGCCAAGCACUAUGCUUGUUGCUGGGAAUGUAAGAUCAAUCAUGAUGGUACUCUGUCACCAAAGGAACUGGCAGCCUAAUAGGAGUCAAAUGGAAUAAAAUGGCCCUUGCAAGCACUGGAAUCACAUGAUCUGCCAUCAAAUCCCUGCCAUCUUCUUCCUAGCUCUGUAUCAUUAACAAAUUACUGAGCCACUCAGCCUCAGUUUUGUCAGUGCAAAGUCAGUUUAAUAGCAAUGUCUUUCUUUCAAAGUGGUUGUGAGGAUAAAGUAAAAUAAUUAACCUGAAGUAGUUGCUACACUUCGUGACACCUAAUAAACAUUCGGCACAAGUAAGUAAAAGCAAGUAUAAUUUAAGAAACACUGUGGUAGAAGUACACAGAAAUUUUCUGGGAAUCACAGACAAAGGAGGCCUGCCUGGCUUAGAGAGGGAAAGUAGGGAAGAGCUUGCCAGAAGAUGUAACCUUUGGGGUGAAUUUUGAAAGAUGACUAGUCAAGUUUGCCAGCAGAGAAAAGAUAAGAGAUUCCAAGCAGAGGACAUUUCAAGUACCCGAGUCAAAUCCAGCACUGUGGAGGUUUUUAUCUGUGAAAUAGCAGGCAGUGUGGAGGGACUGGGGUGCAGAAAGACAGGAUAUAAUAAGAAUGACUCAGAGAGGUUAGCUGAGGCCAUGUCACGGAUUAUAUGUUUAAUUCUGGAGAAGUUGAACUGUGCUAAGACAAGAGAGGGCCUUUGACAGUUUAAAGCAAAGUCACAUGAUAUGGAGAAGUGAGAUGGAAGACAAGGAAUCUGUUAGAGAUUUAUUCCUCCCUGUCAUAGUUCUCUUAAAUGUCAAACUCAAAUUUCUAGCUGCUUACUAUGUCCAGAUUCCAUCAUGCUCAAAAUCAAUCCUGUCCCCUAUCCUGAAAAAUAGCACAGCCAUUCACUGAGUUCUUCAAGCUGAAAAUUAGUAAUUGUCUUUGAAUCCUUACCUUCUAGUAGCUCCUUCUUCCCUCACCUCCCUGGCCUUUCCCCCCCUCCCCCUUUCCACCCACCCUGUAGACCAACUGUUGCUCUCUGCUUCCAAAAUUCUGAACCUGACCUUUCUUCUCACUCACUACUGCCAUAGCCCUAACAGAACCCUCAUCUCCAUCCCCCUCACUUCCUCUUAAAAAAAAAAUAUCUGCUUGUAACAAAUCAAGGCUUCAUCCAGCUCCACUUGCCUUGGGGUCAGUAUCCACAUGCCCUUAUCUAGCAGAUUACACACUUCUUCCACAUUUCUAAUUCUGCUUCUAAAUUCUACUAAAAGGUGGUAUCAUCAUUUCAUUUUGACUUAAGAAAUUAACCUCUGUUGUGGAAACAACUAGUGACUGACCAAACACAUUUAAUUUUAUUGAGUGGAAUUGCAGAGAUUUCUUGUGGGAAAUUAACUCAGAAGAUUUCUUUCCAGUUGCAUCACCACCAGCUCCUUUGUAAUUAUGUGAACCAGCUGGAUAAAAGAAUAAAUUGCUUCUUCAAAUGUACUGGUGUCAUUUAACUAGGAGCUGCUUUCGUUGUAUUGAGUCAAAUAGCAAAGGUUAAAUGGGUACACAUUGGGGCCACUUUUAGCUAUCCUAUCCCAUUUUCAUUUCUCAGACUUUGGUUGCAGUUUUUACAUUUGGAAAGAGAUUUCAAAAAUACAGUGACAAAACGCUGCAGUUAUCUCUUGUUGUUAUAGAUGGCUGAUAUGGUAAAGCAUACCUGGCUCACUUCCUAGAUCAGUGCCUGUGGUCCUCAGCUUAACAAUAAAACAAUUUCAAAUUAAUAUAGCUUUUUUACUGAGCCAGUAGACAGUGGUCUUCUUAGCUGGGCUAUCUGAUAGCUUAUGAGUAUUCCAUUUAAGAAAAUGUACUAUAAAUGUGGAAAUGGAAUAGAUAAGUCAUUUCAGGGCAAACAGUAUAUCUACUUUUUAAAAGAACUCAAAUUAAGAUAUUUUUAUAGUUGUUUCAAAAAUAUCUAUUUAAUGUAAAUGUUACUGUUCUCCUUCAGAAAAUUCUAUGAGAGCUUAGUAACUACAAAUACCCAACUGAAAGACAACAGAACACUUUAAAUUUGGGGACAAUUUAUAAUUUCUUAUUCUUCCUUUUCUCUGUUAUGAUUCUGUUCUUUGUUUUAUCUAUUGUUAGAUUUAACACUUUCUUAAUUUUCCUUGUUUUAAUGUGUUCUGAAGGAAGUGACUCUCAGGUUUCUAUUAUAAAGUAUAUAAUACUUAUAUACUUUACUGUAAGUACAUAAAUGAGGGAAAAUCAAUUAUACAUUUGUAAAAAUAUCAAAGGCCUGGUGUUUAGAUAUUCAUGUUGUUUAUGUAUCAUAAUGAAAAUUAAAUCUAGCAAAUGAUAAAAUAAUAUAAAUAGGGAAAUUGCACAUUUAAAAUCUGCAUUUGUAUGGCAAAUCUAUUUUUUAUGUGAUUUUAAACUCCUGAAGAUUACAGUGAGAAGAGUUUAAUGAGAAACUGUUCAAAAGUGGAGCAGAGGU
This 3333-nucleotide long non-coding RNA is filed under the name Marmota monax (woodchuck). The record is from RNAcentral. Lineage: Eukaryota; Metazoa; Chordata; Mammalia; Rodentia; Sciuridae.